UACGUAGGGGGCGAGCGUUGUCCGGAAUUACUGGGCGUAAAGAGAGCGUAGGCGGCACUACAAGUCUCAUGUGAAAUACCCGGGCUUAACUUGGGGGUUGCAUGGGAAACUGUAGAGCUUGAGUACAGGAGAGGCAAGCGGAAUUCCUAGUGUAGCGGUGAAAUGCGUAGAUAUCAGGAGGAACACCUGUGGCGAAGGCGGCCUGCUGGACUGCAACUGACGUUGAGGCCCGAAAGCGUGGGGAGCAAACAGG
Molecule: ribosomal RNA, 253 nt
Filed under: uncultured bacterium
Lineage: Bacteria
Description: partial 16S ribosomal RNA
Rfam family: Bacterial small subunit ribosomal RNA
Source: RNAcentral